RNAcentral lists this ribosomal RNA (908 nucleotides) under Cucumispora ornata. RNAcentral's name for it is "SSU rRNA". It matches the Rfam family "Microsporidia small subunit ribosomal RNA", at positions 264 to 1166 of the family's 1311-position model. The record is from RNAcentral. Lineage: Eukaryota; Fungi; Microsporidia.
GGCUACCAGGUCCAAGGACGGCAGCAGGCGCGAAAAUUACCGAAGCUCAAAUAGAGGCGGUAGUAAUGAGACGUAUAAAAAAUAAUAUAAGGGUAAAAAACUUAUUAAUAACUAGAGGUCAAGUCUGGUGCCAGCAUCCGCGGUAAUACCAGCUCUAGGGGUGUCUAUGAUGAUUGCUGCGAUUAAAAGGUCCGUAGUCGAAUUUAAAUAAUUGUUUGUAAUAUGUUAGAUAAAAUAAUAAAAAGAACAAUUACUUAAAUGAAAGGAAUAACAAGAGGUUGAUUAAUUGAGUAACGAGAGGUGAAAUUUGAUGACUUACUUAGGAGAAACAGAGGCGAAAGCGUCAAUCAAGUGUAAAUCCGAUGAUCAAGGACGUAGGCUGGAGUAUCGAACACGAUUAGAUACCGUAGUAGUUCCAGCAGUAAACUAUGCCUACGCCAAUGAAUGAAAGUUUGAUGGACGAGAAAUCUAGAGUAGGGCUUUGGGGAGAGUACACGCGCAAGCGAUAAAUUUAAAGGAAAUUGACGGAAGAACACCACAAGGAGUGGAGUGUGCGGCUUAAUUUGACUCAACGCGGGACAGCUUACCAAACCCGAAAACUAAAAGAGUGAAUACACGAUAAGUUUAAGAGUGGUGCAUGGCCGUUAUCGACGAGUGAAGUGAUUUUAUGGUUAAAUCCGACAAGUCGUGAGACCCUAUAAAAUAAAACAGGUAUGAAAAUACAGGAAGGAUAGGACAAGAACAGGUCAGUGAUGCCCUUAGAUGGUUUGGGCUGCACGCGCACUACAGUGGUUAUAAUAAAAUAUAUAGAAAACUAAAUAAAGAAAUAUAAUCAAGAGGGAUUGAGUAUUGAAAAAUACCCAUGAACGAGGAAUUGCUAGUAAUCGUAGGCUCAGUAAGAUACGAUG